GGGGCUGCGUGGGUGUCCUCCCUCGUGUCGUGAGAUGUUGGGUUAUGUCCCGCAACGAGCGCACCCCUUGUCCUUUUUUGCCCUCGUUCUGUUGGGGACUCUAGGGAGACCGCCGGGGACAAACCGGAGGAAGGUGGGGAUGACGUCAAGUCAUCAUGGCCCUUAUGGCCAGGGCUUCACACGUGCUACAAUGGUGUAUACAGAGGGUCGCCAAACCGCGAGGUGGAGCUAAUCCCUUAAAGUUCGUCUCAGUCCGGAUCGGAGUCUGCAACUCGACUCCGUGAAGUCGGAAUCGC
This 296-nucleotide ribosomal RNA is filed under the name uncultured bacterium. RNAcentral's name for it is "partial 16S ribosomal RNA". It matches the Rfam family "Bacterial small subunit ribosomal RNA", at positions 1036 to 1335 of the family's 1533-position model. The record is from RNAcentral.